Scylla paramamosain (green mud crab) is the source of this 516-nucleotide long non-coding RNA. RefSeq lists it as uncharacterized. NCBI's taxonomy places the organism in Eukaryota, Metazoa, Arthropoda, Malacostraca, Decapoda, Portunidae. The record is from RefSeq and is a predicted model, not a curated record. The transcript is spliced from 4 exons.
AGAGAGAGGCAGUCUGAGGCUGGAGUCAGAGAGAGUAAGAUCUCUCUCUCUCUCUUUCUCAAUCUCUCUCUCUCUUUUCUCUUUCUCUUUUUUUCUCUAAUCUACACUACCACCACCAUCACCACCAUGUCUGAAGAGACGAAAACUUCAGCAAAAGACGAAAUGGAUGCAACUCAAGCAGAGACCAGUGCAGACUGCGGCGAGGUGAAGGUGGAGGAGGGAGGAGGAGGAGGAGGAGGAGGAGGAGGAGGAGGAGGAGGAGGAGGAGGAAGAGGAGAAGAAGAAGGAGGAGGAAGACGAGAAGACGAAGGAAGAGGAAGAGGAGAAGGACGAUGAGGAGAGAGAGAAGAUGGAGGAGAAAGAGGAAGAUGAGAAGGAAGAAGAGAAAGAAGAAGAAGAAAAAGGUGAUGAAGAAAAGGAGAUAUCAGAGGAAGAAGAGGAAAAAGAGGAAGAAGAGAAGAAAGUAGAAGAAACAAAACAGAAAGAAGAAGAAGAAGAAGAAGAAGAAGAAGAAGA